RNAcentral lists this ribosomal RNA (245 nucleotides) under uncultured bacterium. RNAcentral describes it as "partial small subunit ribosomal RNA". It matches the Rfam family "Bacterial small subunit ribosomal RNA", at positions 26 to 285 of the family's 1533-position model. The record is from RNAcentral.
AGAAUCAACGCUGGCGGCGUGCCUAACACAUGCAAGUCGCACGAGAAAGGGACUUCGGCUCUGAGUAAAGUGGCGCACGGGUGAGUAACACGUGAAUUAUCUACCUCCGAGUGGGGAAUAACUGAGAGAAAUCUUAGCUAAUACCGCAUAACACUUACGAGUCAAAGCAGCAAUGCGCUUGGAGAGGAGUUCGCGGCCGAUUAGUUAGUUGGCGGGGUAAUGGCCCACCAAGACGAUGAUCGGUA